ACUCCUACGGGAGGCAGCAGUAGGGAAUCUUCCACAAUGGGCGCAAGCCUGAUGGAGCAACACCGCGUGAGUGAAGAAGGGUUUCGGCUCGUAAAGCUCUGUUGUUAAAGAAGAACACGUAUGAGAGUAACUGUUCAUACGUUGACGGUAUUUAACCAGAAAGUCACGGCUAACUACGUGCCAGCAGCCGCGGUAAUACGUAGGUGGCAAGCGUUAUCCGGAUUUAUUGGGCGUAAAGAGAGUGCAGGCGGUUUUCUAAGUCUGAUGUGAAAGCCUUCGGCUUAACCGGAGAAGUGCAUCGGAAACUGGAUAACUUGAGUGCAGAAGAGGGUAGUGGAACUCCAUGUGUAGCGGUGGAAUGCGUAGAUAUAUGGAAGAACACCAGUGGCGAAGGCGGCUACCUG
This 404-nucleotide ribosomal RNA is filed under the name uncultured bacterium. RNAcentral's name for it is "bacterial SSU rRNA". It matches the Rfam family "Bacterial small subunit ribosomal RNA", at positions 335 to 731 of the family's 1533-position model. The record is from RNAcentral.